CCGACCAAAUGGCUGUCUAACUUUUCUGGACCUGUGAUUUAUAUCCGGUGUUGUACUACUCUCAUACACGAGCAUGACGCGUAUGGUUUAGCUCAUGCUCACGCAACGCAAGUCAGAUGGUUGUACAGAUCGAUUCGAAGGUAGGUAGGAGAGCCCGAGAGAAGAACAGACCGGUGGUUGGUCGAGUCUUUCGUUGUUGUUUCGUGUUCGGCUCCGUUGUAUGUCAUGACAGGCAAGGAGGUGGUACGAAAGUUCGCGCUAGGAAGGAACGUUCCCUACGGUUGCCAUGUGAUUGCCUAUUUAUGUACACGUGUAGUUGUGCAUACAUAGAUAGAUGAGCAGAUUGAUAUCGUUGACCGUAAUUGAUGAGGUCUAGUAUACGUAAAGUCGUUGUCGUUGAGUAGGAGAGACUUGUGUAGAUGAGCAGAAACUUGUAAGAACGAGUCCCGCCCUGUACCCCUCACAAACAACGGGGGUGUGAAACGAACUAGCCAAACGAUCGGCGAACCCGGGAGGAUUGGUUGAAAUGUGUGCGAAUAUAGUUUGUAGCCUGAGAACCCCUGAGAAGAGAGGAACAUUCGUUGUGCUCUGAAGAGAGGGACAUUCGUUGUGUGUACGGUAGAUGAUCGAGUGUCAUACGUAUAUAUUCAGAGACACGGCGUGCGCGAGAGAGAGCGAGCGCGCGUGCGCCUCUUCUCUUACCGUACGUUUACCGUUACACACCGCUGCGACCACGAACACACCAACCGGCGCCGCCGUUGCGUCGUCCCUACGUUGCGCGUCUACUCCCUCUCACCCGUACUAUUAGACUGCUCUCCCUCGAAGGGGUUCCCGAAGCAGAAGCCGUGGCGGCGGAGGAGGAUGGUCCAUCAUUGUUAAGAGUUAAUUAAAUUAAGACGUGCUAAUUUAGAUAAAAAACACUUUAAGAACGUAACUAAGAUUUAUUUCGAUAUAUGAAUGAAUUAACCGAUCACACAAGAAAAGUGUAUUAGCUACCUCGCAGGGAGAGAAGAGACACCAUACCCUAGACAAUAUAUAGCUAGCUAGAAGAGGCUAACAUUAUACCAAAUAGAAUAAAUGGUACGAUCAAGUAAGCAAGGAUCAUAAAACCACGUAUACUAGAAAAAAUAGAAAAAUAACACCUUAACACCCAGUACACGAUGACAAAGUACGUGGUAAGAGAGGAGGAGAACAUAUACGGGCACGAGUAUAAACAGAAAAAUCAUCUCAAAUGUCAGCUACGGAGGAAACUUUUUAUUUUGUCCUACUGAAGAGUUGUUUGUUUUAGAGGUAACAGGUACGUGCGGGAGUUCACAGUUCUUACCAUCAAUGUGAAUGUGGGGCAAACCUACAACUGUAGGCUCCGACCUAUUGAAGAUAUUUUCGAGUAUCCUCAAUCUAAACUUCUAACACGUUCUCGUUGUGUACUAACAAUCGUGAUGAAACGUUCAUUGGAGGGUCACAGUGAUGCAACAGUGUACGCGUGUUCCUGGUCACAACAUCCGUUACGUAUUUCUCCUCAAUCUUAAAACGCGUGCGAUUAAUUGCUGUACCUGAUCUUUGUUCUUAAUAUACGAGUUUCGUUCGUCCUUGAAGUUAUUGUAAACGUUAAAGAAAUACUCUCCGUAUCAUUUAAUGAGAACGCGUUCACUGGUUUACAAAACGUCCUUGGAUCAUCCUUAAUUUGUAACUAUUAUGAUAGGUUAUUAAUCGAUUUGGAUGGGUCAUACGGGGGCUCACGCUGAACUAACGUUUCACUGGGGAAACUCCAUUUUAGUAUCGAUUCAACAGAACCUACUUGUUUGACCUUCUUCGACUGAGUACUGAGUGACUAAGGGGUAGAAAUAGAAAAUCUCAUGUAUAAAGGAAAAUACGAAGUUGUUUCGUCAGAUGGUAUUUUGAACUUAUUAUCGAACUAGUUAGGCAGAACUUGGGUCAUACCUGAGUCGUUGUUAUGUACAUGUGAUGUACUGUGUGUUUGUACCGACACACGUAGCGUACUACUUCUCCGGCCUAAUGAGGGGGAUAAGCUUCUUCUUUUUCUUAUUGUGUGAUUUGUAACAUAAGACUUCUUUUUUUUCGGAUUUGUACCAGCUACACGUAGUGAGCUACCUCUCCGCCCCCAAGAGAGAGCCAAAACCCUUCUACUGAAAAAGAUUAGCUUUUCCACCCCUGGACACCACACGUAGUCCUAGAAGAGAUCAAAAGAAUGCGUUACAUAAUUAGGUUGAUACUCAUUUAAAACACAUUUAUAAGAAUCUCAUUAUUCGUAUAUAUAAAGGGUGUGUGUUUUUAUUCGUAUAUAUAAUACCAUAUACAAAAAAAAAGACUUUAGUACAAAAAAGACAACCAUCAUGCUCCCUCGGCAGUUACACCUACCUUCUCCUGGAUGUUAAACCCUGUUUAAGCGUGUGUGCAAACCAUUGUAUUUGUUAACAAAACAAAACACUAUCUUGUAAACAAAAAAGUCACCUUCUCUUUGACUGACAAUUGAUCCCUCACCAGUGAGUACUCCAGACUAUACUGACUUAUACAUAAAUGAGUGGUUACCUUGAUUGGAACCGGUGAUUUUAAUCAUCAGCAUAAUACUAAGUUCUAUUACUAUGUUAGAAGAAUGUUUAUGGAAAAAGAGGAUACAUCCCUUCUAGGAACUGAAGUCGUUACGGCUACAACGACAACUGGUGAUGGUGGCAAAACUCCAAGGAGGAAAAACCUUUAUAUCCGUGAUCUAAUUACGUAGUUCUACUAUGUAUUAUAAGGCAUCUUGCACAGCAGCUUAUACUUGUACUCGCAAAUUAAUACGUGUGCAACAUGUUAUAUGAGUACCGGGAACUUUGUUGAAUGAUAAAGUCCUCCUGUAAGUCGAAUACCGUCUAUACCCUAACCUACGGAUGUCUAAGAGUUAACGUACCAGAGCCUAAGAGGGUUCAUGCGUAAUAAUCAUGUUUAAAACACGCGGGGAAUUAUUAAACUGACUAUUUGUCCCAACAGUUUAACACCUCUUUAAUUAAUUGUAUGGUCGUGUGAUUAUCACUAUCGGAACACACAAAACAAACUACAGGUCUACCGUGGCCACUCCAGUUGGUUCGUCCGUAGCUGGUGAUGUCGUUCCAGUAACUACGUGAGGAUCGUUUUCCACUUGAAGACAUGUGAGACUUCUAGUUUCGUAAUAACUGGUCACAGCUUAAAAAUAGUUUUGUAAUAACUGGUGGUGGAAGUUACGUGGGUGCCACGUGGGUGCGUUCUUUUGUAUCGUUUUUUUAAGUUUUUUAAGACAUUGAAAUACUCUUACUAGUAGUUGUUUACAAUCUUUCCGAACGUUUUACACUACCCGUUUAUUGUAAGCUCUUCGAGAGAUGUUUUUUCUGUUCUAAUGUUUUAGACGAGUUUGUCACGUGAAUGUAAAACUGAUUAAAAGUCACCUAAACAGAAAAAACAUCUCUCGAGGAGCUUACAAUAAACUGGUGGUUUAAAACGUUCGGAAAGAUUGUAAAGAACUACUAGUAAAAGUGUUUCAAAGUCUAAAAAAAAAAACUUUACAAAACUAUACAAAAGAACGCACCUACGUAGCUCUCACCCACAUCUUCUUGGUGAGAGAGGUUUAAUGAGGGAGGCAAAGAUUUAUAAACAGAAAAAUCUCUAAGUUUACCUGAUGGUGUAUGCCUACAUAUAUAUGUAUAAAAUCUCACAUCUAAGUGAGUAAAACGUGGCAUACAUCAGUAAACAACUUUAGAGAUCUUUCUGUUUAUAAAUCCUUACCUCCCUCAUCAAUACUCGAGUGAUUGUUCCACUUCAUCUUAAUAACAAGGUCCCUAACUCGGCAUACAAUGGGAGAUGGUGACCCUGGAAGGGGACCGGGACCUUCUGUUCAUGUUACCCAACGAACUGUCCGUCUAUUACACACAUGGCAUCCGUGGAAAUAAACGUCGUUGAGGGGAACCCAGAUUGACGUUACCACCAGAUUGUUGGGUUUGUACGUUUGACGGUUACGUCGUUGCUGAUGCGCCGCAUGCGCCUCUGCACAAAGUUCCGCAAACCCCUGUCCCACUUCGCAACCUAGUGGAAGUUGCUCGGUGUGUGCCACCGCCACGUCCCAAUGCUGUCGCCCUAGGUGCGCGGCCCGGCGACGAGGCACGAGGCGGUGGAGACGACGUUUGUUCCCUCGAGGCCGUGGCUCGGGAUGUAACAGCGAGUGUUGUAGUAGGAGCGAGUGCGGUGCCAAAGCCUGUAGAUGUCCUUCUUCAUGUUCCAGUCAGCCUUCAGCCUUCAGCCUUCUUGUAGGAUAUAUAACCAAAUCAAGUCCAAAACGAGAAACUUUUAACUACACUAAAGGGGAACCCGGACUUCAACGUUGUAUCGAACUUGACUUGUUAUUUUCUAACUAAAAAACACAUAAUUAUAAUACGUCCGUCUCGUCUUACCUCUCCACCCCUACAGAAACCUACACUAUACCAUGCUCGGACAGAGUUUGAGGUGUCGACUACAACUCCGGCGGUUCUCUCGUGUCCUCAAGGUCGAUCCUACCAGUCACUCGGAGUGAGUGAUUUAGGUAAUUGAUAAAGGAUGAGGGAGGCAGGGUAUUACAUUCUGCAAAAAAAUGUGAUGUGAUCACAGUUUUGUGCAGAAUGUAAUACCCUGCCUCCCUCAUGAUUAAUUAGAUUAGUGCCUACCUAUACGGUCAUUGUCUCGAUCGGAUCGUCAAAGUAUCUUAACUAACGUCACUUUUACUUGUUUCGAUCGUAUCAUCAAGGUUUAAAUUCAGAGAUCCUCAACGACUCUAUUUUACUCCAUUACAGUUUUCCAAACGGCUAGGGAAGAAGAAGCCACUAAUGGGCCGCUGCUACUCUAGUUCCCAGCCUGUUUCCGACGGCUCCAAGUACUGCUUCCUCCGGCUAGACCACUUCCCCAGCGACCUGAAGCACCCCUAGUUAGUGAUGUGGUGUAAGAUGUGUUUUCUUCUGGUAAGGCGACAGUAGUUUAUGAACGACUUACUAUGGAACCGUCUGUCACCUAGGCAGUCGGAGGCAUUCAACUUAAGGACGGGGAGCACAUAGAAACUUGAUAAAAAUCAGAUUGAAGUAUGAGUACAGACGUAGAACACAAGUAACAGUCGGAAGUCUUUACCCUUCGGUUAACCUCUAUUCCAUUGGUAGUGCAGUCGUCGUACGCCUGACUGUUAAAACACAACGUUACGACGUAAACCUAAAGACUUUUAAUUGACGUCCGUAGUACUGACUUACUUAUAACGAGAACGAGCGGAGGAAUGGACGUCCGGUUAAGCUAUACCAACAUGUAACACGGACCGUCGUACUCCUCUGAGUACUUGAUACAGUUUCUAUCUAUGCUGUGGGGUUGACAGAUGUAGUGACUUUUACCGUUCAUGUGCGUGUUAUACUAAAAGAGGUAAACUAAUCGUGCGUUGAUGUUUCUCUACCUUGUUUUGAGCGAAGCCUCAAGUACUUGUAUUGUUCCUACACGUACAACAGUUAAUUCACAUUAAUUUAAGCGGAAGUCUGUACUGUAAUUUCAUUGAGAGAAAAAGUCCUUACCUACUGUCGUUGUCGGGGAAGUAGAGGGAGUUCUUCCGGGAGUUUCUGUGUUUUUCUUAGUUGAUGGUGUUACUGAUGGAGUGUUUAGAUCGACUAAGGUAUUCCACGAGUGUACUAAAAUGGAAGGGAACUAGUCAUUUUAGAAUAAAACGGUACACAUCUGGUCAAUUAGAAACUAUAACAUUAAAGAUGUCCCUCCUACCGACGCUACAAGCGCCCAUAAAACACACCAGAGAAGAGCUGUUGACCCUCACCUGGCGACCUAUGUGGAGUUCUAAGCCAAACAAGAAGCAUCUGAUGUUCCUAUUGGAGUUCUCUAUGGGGUUCUUGAGUCAGGUCACCAAGUUCUUAAAGAACCGUAGAAGGACUAGUUUUAAACUAUCGAUUACAUCUCCAGUACUAGUGUAUAUGUGAAGUUAUAAAAAGAUACUGAACAUCUGUCCCAUGAUAUCGUUAAACACUGAAGAGUACAUAUGUAGCUAACAUAUAUCGCCUUUAGCUGGAAAAUCUGCAUGGUAUAAGGGAUCUAAUUUACCUGGAGAGAGUUAGCGAGCAUGUAUUAAUAACUCGGCCUGUUCUUUUCUAUCCUCACGGGAAUACUUCCAGCGUAUAUUAAAGAGGGUCAGUUAAUCGGACAUAGGCUGGUGUACAUAAGUUUGUUCGUUUCGUCCGAGACAUAACGCUUUUUGUUCUUGUCUCCUAGGUGACAUGGAACACGACUGUGAAUGCUUGUGUACUUUUUAUCGUGGGUAACAUGAAUUCCUCUCGACGGGUACUGUAGUUUUCCAGUAUAAAAGCGUAAGGAGGGAUUGUUGACGCUUGUCUAGUCUCAAGUACAUAGAGAGCGGCCGCGACCCCUUGUACCAUUGCUAGUAGAACGGGACCAAGGGAAGAGCGCAGCGUUAGACGGUCUCUGGGUGCUUUAGUCUCGAGUGUAUGGGUCGUUUAUACGAUUAAGUACAUUG
This 6514-nucleotide ribosomal RNA is filed under the name Triticum aestivum (bread wheat). RNAcentral's name for it is "partial small subunit ribosomal RNA". Lineage: Eukaryota; Viridiplantae; Streptophyta; Magnoliopsida; Poales; Poaceae. The record is from RNAcentral.